Small nuclear RNA from Neomonachus schauinslandi (Hawaiian monk seal), 178 nucleotides. RefSeq annotates it as U4atac minor spliceosomal RNA. The transcript has a single exon. Lineage: Eukaryota; Metazoa; Chordata; Mammalia; Carnivora; Phocidae. The record is from RefSeq and is a predicted model, not a curated record.
ACCAUCCUUUUCUUGGAGUUGCGCUACUGUCCAAUGAACGCCUAGUGAGGGCAGUACUGCUAAUGCCUGAACAAAGUCCUCCAUCAAAUCUUAUGUAGUGUGGGUACACAGACACAAGAGCACUCCAGUUCCUUGCCAGGAUAAAGCAUCAGCUGUAUGAACAGCAAUUUCAGGAUAG